Molecule: ribosomal RNA, 440 nt
Filed under: uncultured bacterium
Lineage: Bacteria
Description: partial 16S ribosomal RNA
Rfam family: Bacterial small subunit ribosomal RNA
Source: RNAcentral
CCUACGGGAGGCAGCAGUGGGGAAUAUUGCACAAUGGGGGAAACCCUGAUGCAGCGACGCCGCGUGAAGGAAGAAGUAUUUCGGUACGUAAACUUCUAUCAGCAGGGAAGAAAAUGACGGUACCUGACUAAGAAGCCUCGGCUAACUACGUGCCAGCAGCCGCGGUAAUACGUAGGGGGCAAGCGUGAUCCGGAUUUACUGGGUGUAAAGUGAGCGUAGGCUGCGAUGCAAGUCAGAAGUGAAAGCCCGGGGCUCAACUCCGGGACUGCUUUUGACACUGUAUGGCUAGAUUGCAGGAGAGGCGAGUGGAAUGCCUAGUGUAGCGGUGAAAUGCGUAGAUAUUAGGAGGAACACCAGUGGCGAAGGCGGCUUGCUGGACUGUAAAUGACGCUGAGGCUCGAAAGCGUGGGGAGCAAACAGGAUUAGAUACCCGUGUAGUC